RNAcentral lists this ribosomal RNA (253 nucleotides) under uncultured bacterium. Its description in RNAcentral is "partial 16S ribosomal RNA". It matches the Rfam family "Bacterial small subunit ribosomal RNA", at positions 524 to 776 of the family's 1533-position model. The record is from RNAcentral.
UACGUAGGGUGCGAGCGUUGUCCGGAAUUAUUGGGCGUAAAGAGCUUGUAGGCGGUUUGUCGCGUCUGCUGUGAAAAUCCGGGGCUCAACCCCGGACUUGCAGUGGGUACGGGCAGACUAGAGUGUGGUAGGGGAGACUGGAAUUCCUGGUGUAGCGGUGGAAUGCGCAGAUAUCAGGAGGAACACCGAUGGCGAAGGCAGGUCUCUGGGCCACUACUGACGCUGAGAAGCGAAGGCAUGGGGAGCGAACAGG